This is a long non-coding RNA of Strigops habroptila (Kakapo), 1950 nucleotides long. NCBI's taxonomy places the organism in Eukaryota, Metazoa, Chordata, Aves, Psittaciformes, Psittacidae. The record is from Ensembl.
CUUUUUUUUUUUUUUACUUCAAAUUUUACUGUAUGUUUUGUUGAUGUGCACUGUAUUUUAGCAGUCUUGGUUUGCUAGGGCUCAGGUAAAAUUUCCUUCCUGCAUCUCCUCUUACUGAGCAGCAACUGAACAAGGCUUUUUUUUUUUUUUCCCCCUGGUUUUAUUCAACACCUUGUCCUAUUGCAGAUAUUACCUCCAGAUGUACUGUAUAUUGACUUUACUUUGAGAGGACCUAAGGUUUUUUGUCAGCAUCAUUUAUUACUCAUCAGUCUCUGUUUUGUCAGGAGAGUUCAGCACCUUUGACAGAUGAAAAUGGGAAAUAGCACUUUGGCCUUGGAUUUCACAGGACCCCCUUACUUCUCUGUUCUCGUUCAACAAGGAUGCCCCACGGAAUAGCAUGUUUUAAGAAGAGACAAUUAGUCAUUUUAACCUAGGUAAGUUUUUACUCUGAUAUUGUUUAUGGCUUGUUUGAGAUUUUUAUGUUUGUUUACAAUAUGUUGCUCAACUACUGUAAGUCGUAUGCCUUAGCAAUGUGUACUGAUAAAAUGAACACAUGUAAAUAUCUUUAGCAAUCAGACUUCCAGUCUUAUGACAGUUUUUGGGCAAUUAAACAAGUGCCUUGGCAUGCUAAAAUGUACUUGCCUACUACUUAGGGACACUGGGAGGAUUUAUUAGCUGUUAUGCUAGAUUAAAUCAGCCAUGGCCCUUUUGAGCAGAAAGUCUUCUCUGGGGUUGACCAGAGUAAUACUACUUUCUACUUCUCCCCAGAGCCUGUGUUGAUUUAGGUAGCCCUACAUUAGAGCGUUCUCGGUACAGGCUGUGACAGGAAGGCACGAAGUCAAUCUGUAUAAACUAGCAUUUAAUAGGCCACAAGAACCUGAGCUAGAAAUCAAUUCUGAGAAAAGAGACCAGAAUUUUCAAUACCGUGGUGCUGAAGCACACCUACCAGGGGCUGGGGCGGGCAGACAGUUGGUAUUAGGCAGUUUGAAAAUACCCAUGUGGAAUCAAUAAACAGGACCGACUCAGGGGUGACGUAAAGAGGAAGCUUAACUCCAUUACCAGCCUCUAAGUCAGGGGGAGUUUUGCAGGCGCCGGCGGGAAGACGGAGCCGUAAAUCGGGCCCGUGUGCGUGGGCCAGCCGCGUCCGUGGGGGGAGGCCUUGGCGGGGGCCUGGACCGCCCCGUCGGUGCUUCAGCACCGAGGACAGCGCCCGCCCGGCGCCACGCGAGCCCCAGCACCCUCCCGCGCGGGUCCAGCUGCCCUCCCGUCCUCCACCGCCCCUCCUUUGAUCUCCCUCCUGCUCGGGUUCCUCUUCUGCCUUCUGCCCCCUUGCCCGCCGCUUCCCCUCCUGCUCCUCGCGUGUUUCGCCCACUAACCUGUAGCGAGAGCUUCGCCUCGGUCAGACCACCCGCUAUUGCUCCUCGCUCUGUUUUUCCUUCUUUCCUAUCAAUCCCUGACGCCCCCACCCCCGGCGAGUGCCCCGACACUUUGUAAACACGGGGCCUCAGCCCGGUCGGGGAUGCACAAACGGGCUGGGGUCCCCCGGCCUCGCUCCCCCGUGGCCCGGAGGAGCCGGGGUGCUCCCCUUGCCGUGCCGGCCCCGAGCGGGGCACCAGCCAACCCCGUGUGCGUGGGGGGGGGCCCGCGGCCGCCCUCCCCCCAUAACGCGGGGCGGCGGGCCAGCCCUCUCCCGGUCUCACAGCCUGCCCCCGAACCCCCAGAGGCUCCGAGCCGCUCCCCCCGGGCGGGGGAUGGCAGCGCCUUCCCCCCCUCCCUCCACCCCGCUUCCCUUCCCCGGUGCCGCGGGGCACUCACCACCGGCGCGGAGGGCAGCGGAUGGGCGAUGCUGCGGAGCAGCACCCCGGCGGGGCGGCUGCGCUGCUGCAGCCGGCGGGGGCUAGGGGGGUUUGCGCUGGGCUCCGCCGACCCCGGCUCCCGGCCGCGCAAGCA